AACGCGAAGAACCUUACCUGGGCUCGAAGCGUAGUGGACUGAGGUAGAAAUAUCUUUUUCCCGCAAGGGACUGCUACGUAGGUGCUGCAUGGCUGUCGUCAGCUCGUGUCGUGAGAUGUUGGGUUAAGUCCCGCAACGAGCGCAACCCUUAUCCCUAGUUGCCAUCGGGUCAAGCCGGGCACUCUAGUGAAACCGCCCCGGAUAACGGGGAGGAAGGUGGGGAUGACGUCAAGUCCUCAUGGCCUUUAUGUCCAGGGCUACACACGUGCUACAAUGGUCGGUACAAACCGUCGCAAACCCGCGAGGGGGAGCUAAUCGGAAAAAGCCGACCUCAGUUCGGAUUGGAGUCUGCAACUCGACUCCAUGAAGCUGGAAUCGCUAGUAAUCGCGGAUCAGAACGCCGCGGUGAAUACGUUCCCGAGCCUUGUACACACCGCAUAC
This 441-nucleotide ribosomal RNA is filed under the name uncultured bacterium. RNAcentral's name for it is "bacterial SSU rRNA". It matches the Rfam family "Bacterial small subunit ribosomal RNA", at positions 958 to 1397 of the family's 1533-position model. The record is from RNAcentral.